CAGCUAGUCAUGCUAGAGCACUUUUUCAAUGUGCUCCCCAACGAGAAGGUGACGACGCAUUCGUAUGUUAAUCCAUAUCAACUUUCGAUGCCUUUGACUGCGCCUACUGUGGUGACCAUGGGUAACGGGGAAUCAGGGUUCGAUUCCGUACAGGGACCCUGAGAAACGGCUACCACAUGCAGGUAAGGAAGUAGGCACGCAUAUGACCAAGGUAGUGA
Molecule: non-coding RNA, 218 nt
Organism: Pelobates cultripes (western spadefoot toad)
Lineage: Eukaryota; Metazoa; Chordata; Amphibia; Anura; Pelobatidae
Source: the annotation of a GenBank genome assembly